UGUCCAAAAUCAGUUGGCAGCAAAUAGGUAAAACAAGUUUAAACGUCAUCACUCAAGCUUCAAUCUAGAGAAAAGUUGCCAUACUUACCUCACAGAAUUUCAACUCAGUUCCUGCUGAGUUAAGGUGGAAGAACAUAGUCAAACAUCAAUUCCCAAGCUUCAAAAGCCAUCCCCCAGGUUUCCAAACCAGCUUGUAGCAAGAGAGGGAGAAAAACCAACUCAAAUCCACUAGUUUUUCCUUUCCAAAUGGAAGACCUAGAGAGAAAAAGAAAGAAGGCAUCCCUUACCUUAUCCUCAGCUCCAGAAGGAUAAGAACAAGCCUAGGGGUCGACCAGAGUUGAUAAGGAUGGAUUUAGAAAGUGAAAAGACCAAAAUAGCCUCAGCCCGCAGCUACUGCUGUGCUGUGUACCGGUACACAAUGAUGGCUGUACCGGUACACUAUACAAAUUUCUGCCAUUUCGAGUUUUCAAUGCACUUUCGGUCUUUUAAUGGUUUGAUCACUACUUUAACUUGUCAAAAAUCUUUUUCAUACUCUUUAAAAGAUGUAGGCUAGUUCCCAUUACCAUUCCCUCUCAUCAAACUUCGUAAUUAGCCAAAUUCAAAGCACUACAUUCGAUUAGUGCAUUUGCAAAGCUCUUUUCCAUUUCCAGUUAUUUACUUGGUCCAGUCCUUUGCUGUAACCUCUUGACAACUCUUCAAAAGUUGUAGAAGAGUUCCAAUUACUAUUCCAACCCUCGAACUUCAUAAUUCGCCCAAGUUCAGAGUAUUACAUUCACCCCUCCUAAAAAGGGUUUCGUCCGCAAAACUAGAAUCCAAUUUAUGCUUCAAAAUCAUUCGAAAUGAAUGGGGAAUAUAUAGGUUAUAACGUCUCAAUUCAUUCCCAAGGAGUUUAAACUAAUCAAAUCACAUAAGACGUUUUUAUGGGAACACCCAUAAGUCUAAAAAUUCAGUAUUUCGCACUUUACCUUUUUCCAUCAUUGUUCCAGAGUUCAUAUAACUUUCUCCCAAUAAAAAGUUCUUCUUUCACUCAUGAAAUCCAUGGUUUAAUGGAUGAAGUUCCAUUUCUGAUUUUUCAAUAAUUCGAGGAUAAAAUCCAACUCUUCUCAUCAUGCUGAUAUGAAGGGGGUUCCAUCAUUCAGUUGAUAAGAAGAAUUCCAAUGGUACCAUUUACAAUAGGGUUUAGUAGUUAUACCUGGUACCUGUCUCGAGUUCCAAAGAAUUAUCAUACAUUAAUAAAGAACAGUGGACUCCUCAAUUAUCAGUUUAUUCUCAAAAGGCAAAACUCUUUAAGAGAUUGUACUAUUAAUGCAAUUCUAUUCCAAGAUGAAAUUCACCUUUUACUAUAAUUUGUUCAAUCAGUCCCUCCAUACUUCGCAAAUCUAUUGCCGGAAUCCAUUUCUCGAUUUGUGCGUGUCAUCCAGUAGUCACAACUUUUCAAAAAUUGCACUCUUGGUGCACUGCCACUCCAAGGUUAGAUAAAGGAAGAAGUACCCAUAGUUCUUGUAGUUGUUGUAUUCCACAAUUAUUACUAGCUUGAUAAUGAACUAGUUAUCUCUGGUAGUACCGCUUCAAUAACAAAUUGAAAUUGAUUAUCUUCUCCAUCAAUCCACUAAAGGUGGAUUCCUGAUUUACUAUUCAGCAUUGUAUCACAAUGCCUUAGCAUCAUAUUUCAUUCUAUCACUAGGCGAUAAUCCCAAAUUCACAUCAAUGGAUGUACUUAAACUCAUACAAAUUCCAUUAAUGUUGUCUCUGUAGCUUUACUAUUUUUCUUUAUACCAAUCAUAAAGUAAAUCAUAACCACUUCAUCACUGAGAAAUUUUCCUCACAUAUUCCAAUUCGAUUUCCAACCAAUUCUGUUCAAGUCCAAAUUUGGAAGUUUGCUUCUGCCAAAAUGACUCAUGACAUUACUUAUUUGAUCCUGAGAGUAGAUCAAUCAAAUAAACUUUCUUUGAUACUGUUUUGAAAGUGGGAUGCCCAAAGGAUUCAUUGUCCCAGAUCCAAUUUAGGCAAUAGAGGGGAAAUCAACUUAUACUUCACCCACACUCUCUAUUGCUAUUUCACUCCAUAAUCAGGGAAGAAAUCUGAACGAAGCCUUUUGUUGACUAGAGCAUCAUUAUUUGCUUCCAAUCAUACGGGGUUUAUCCUAAUAUGACUAUCAGUAAGGACAUUAAUCCCCAAAGACUGAUCUCAUGCGGUUUGUUCCAUGAAGCUUAGUUCCAUUAGGAGAGUCUCAUCUCAAUCCUUUUAAUUCUUCUGCUUGGUCAAUCAUUAUCUACCUUAUAGGGUUCACAAUACAAACAAUUGAACCAAUCCCUUCACGACAUUCUCUGUCAAAGAAGGCUACAAAAUUCCUCAGAUCGCUACUCAAUCUAUAACAUGCACGACAUGCACCCAAAACUCAAGACUGAUUAAAAGAUCAACAGGUUUCACUAUAAUUUAACUACUUAAUCGUGUUUUCAAUUGAAAUCACGAUAUUCGACAUAUGGUCGAACAACUCAUGCAGUCUGACAAUAAAUAGGAUCGCUUCACCAAAACGAAGCACAAGGCAUAAAAGCCUCCCUAUUAGUUAAAUUCACAAUUUGUGACUCGACCAGAAAUACAGCAACAACGUCUUAAAAUCAUCCAUCAUUUUGAUGAUUCUCACAGUCUAAAUUAUCAGCCAAUUAGGCUCCAACCUUUCUAUAAUUAUCUAAUUUAGGUAAAAUGACAAUUCUCGCAAUCGGCGAGAUUAAAUCUUCAAGAUGCAUAUAAUGCUCAAAUUUCCAAGGCGGAUCAGUUUAGCUCGCACAAACCAUGAUACAAAGUACCUCACAACUAAAUUUUAACCAAAACCACUCUAUCAUAGGUAAGGCCAAUCCAUUGUUGGCAUAUACUAAACUUUCUCCUUAGGCAGGGCAUCAAGUAGACCAUUCUAUUAAAUCAAUCCUAUAUGCAUUAAGGAUGGAAUUGAUGCUAUUCAACUCGACAAACAGUCGAUCAAAGAUGCAACUCAACAAUCAUCAUCAAGAUAAUCAGGUCAUAGGAACAUAGCAUAACAUACUAUCUGUAGUAAUUAUCCCCGCCGUCAUAUUUGGUUUCAGCUACUCGGUAGACAACUAUCCACUUGGUGCCUCUCGUGAUGAGGUUGGUGCGGAUACUUUCUCUAGCAUACUAUUCCUUGGGCACUCUACUCGAAAAUGGCCCUCCUAACAACAUACGAAACACUUUCCUUUCCGUUGAGGGCACUUUGGGGGUACGUACGGACCUCCACAAAUCACACAUCACUGUGAUAGUCAACAAUUCAAUAUUCUUCGUUUAGAAAAGAACCGCGUCCCCGAGGUUGAUUCUUCUUGACUCUCCUUAAUGAUUCCUCAACCUGCAACCGGUCACUUUUAGUGGUCUGCUUUGCCGUCUCAAUCAAUUCCACACUUUUUCUUGCCGUCAAGGUGUAAUCUGAAACUUCCUGAAAUUUCUUGAGGUCUAUCGUCUGUUGGAUCAACAAAUUCUCCAACCUUCUAAUACCCUCAUCUUGUCGGCGUAAGGCUUCUGCUUGGAGUAACGCCACAUUCGACUGUCUUUCCACCAUUCCCACUAGAGUGGCCAACUGCUCUCUCAGUUCCGGAACCUCAUCAGAUUGGGAGGAUACAAGCUUUUUUCAACUCCGUCGCCUCGGCCGUUGUAGAGUGCAUCCAUGACAUCGCAAGCUGCAACAAACAAAAUUGGCAUAGGUUAAACAACCUAUGCUAUCGUAGCCCCACUCAUAAUUAUAAGAUCCCCAAUCCUGCGAAAGUAAUGAAAUGAUUUCCCACUAUUCCCCGAUAUCACGUUGUCGGCCGCCAACGGGAUCUCGCAAGGACAUAGAGGUCACUCACUUCGAUUAAACUCCAAUACUUUCGGAGUUUUACAUAUAACCCAAUCAUAAUACUUUCGCCCAAAAUGGUCAUAAAAGACCCCAUCUCUCACGCUCCUAAUCCUGAUCGUCCAACCAGCCUAAGAUUUACUAGGUCCACCAAGACUCAACCCUAGGCUCUGAUACCACUAUAAUCUGUCACGCCCUGGAUUUCAGCGGAAGCUCACCAGUCGCAUGCACAGACCCGCCGUGUACACCACAACUCAAGUAUACACCAGGCGUCUACAAUCAAUAUAGUAAAAGCAUUCGAUUCUAACCAGGUACUCAGAGCAAAGCCUAAAAGUUUAACUUAUACAACCCAAAACCUUAUUACAACAAAUAAGAACAAAGCACAAUUUACAUGAUCAUAUUAUACAUCACUGAACUAAACUACAUAAACUGAUAAAGGCUGUCUAGUAAUCGUCUAAAAGGCUCUAGCUAGCCGUUGACCCCUCGCCAGGAACCCUAGCCUUUCCCGCUGUGGAAGGCUCUGUAAAAACAACAACAAAGAGAGCGUGAGAACUAUUAAACAAUAAUUCCCAGUGGGUAAGCCGCCAGGACUGGCGAAGUACACCACUAGGUCAACUGUGGCAAGAGUAAACAGUAGUAAAUAAGCAAGUAAAUGCAACAGAUAUUGAAACAAUUCAAUUAUGCUAUUUACUCAAAGUAAAUAUAUAAAUGCACCAAUCCACAGUUUGUAGGUACUCGUUUAUCAUGAUAAGUUCUAUCAUUCAUGUUAGUGACAAUUUAACUAGCUAUAUGCCCAACGUAUGUAAGAUAAUUCAUUUAAGCUAAAAUAACUGAUGAUAUCCUGGAAUUACUUCCUACACCAGUAAAAGUGUAACACAUUGUCACUAACGUCAAGAUGUCAACUUUCUAGCUUAUUCAUCAAUAAGUUCACUUGUCAUUUACCUACUUGAUGUUUGAAUCUUGUAAGACCCACCCGAAGGCUGUCUGGCAUGAAGACCCACCCGAAGGCUGUCUGACAUGAAGACCCACCCGAAGGCUGUCUGGUAUGUGCCGCGCCUAAUGGCCCCGUGGAAGUUAAUACUACCCACGGCAAUCCAUUUUGGCGUUCACUUCAUACAUAAGCGAGCAAUCUGUCGCUAAGCCACUCCGGAGCGCUGGCUUGGGGGCGCGAUCCCUCCCCACAAGCGUGUGCAAAUGAGCACAAUGGCAUGCAAGCUGUAAUUCACAGUAUAGGUAUCACCACUUCAUCAUGUCUCUGACAUGGAAUCUCAAUUCGAUAUAAGGUCGACAUUGUAGUACCCAAAUCAUAAGUCACUAUCAACUACUUAUUGACAUACUUUGACCAACAGUUAGUAUAACUUGAAUAAUGAUAAUUUAACAUCAUAAUAGGCUAUACCCACAAUUACACAUUUAAAAUCCUCACACUAUUCCCUAUAUACAAGGAAAGUGAUUUCUAAGGUCAUCUCUAAUAACUCAUGGCACAUAUCCUAUAGUUCCAUGUAAUCCUCUCCUACUUGGAGUAACCAAGUCAUAUGCAAUUCCCCUAUUGCAUUGUACAGAGAUGGUCUGAUGUUCAACUUUAGAUAUUUAUGAGAUUACCUUCAGUAGAAUAACAUGCAGGUUAUAUCACAAUACCAUAAUCUAGUUACCCAACAAGAUCAAGCAUAACACAUGCAGUUAACCAAGUUCUAUUCUUUAAAGGUGGAAAGCAUCUGCAUGACAUAAACAGGCAAAUGCUCUUUAUCUGCUUGUAGUCCAGUUAUUCUUCAUUACCAAAGUAUACUCAAUUCAUUUCAUUCUGUCUGAUAUGCUCUGGUUUCAGAUAUUAUGUUGACAAUAUGGAAUAGCAUAAUAUAACUUGGAGGUUAAAACCGAUCAUAUACUAUCCAUUUAGUUAUACAUUCAACUAAGUACCAUUUUCAUGACUUAUUAAGCUUGUUUUCACAAAUAUCUUAAUGUCAUGUAAUACAUGCCCGACUAGCAAAUAAUCUCUAGAUGCAAAACAUAUUCGUACUUUACCUCUACUAUAUAGAGGUUCUCUUUUACCCAUGAGGCUAUGCAAUAAGUUUAACUCGUAAUAUCAAAGCAAUCAUAGAGGAAAUUCACCCAUUUCGAGAAGGUCCGACCCACCAAUAUGUUGACAACUCUCGUUGAUUUAGCGAGCGAAAGUAUCCGAAGCCUCCUAGUAUCCUAGCAAGUAUUCUAAAGUCAGCUAGGCAUAUAACUCAUAACUCUACAUCAAACUCGUAUAGUCACCUCAUUCAGGUAAAUUCUUACCUGAUAUAGAGUUAAGGCUUAAUUCCUGACUUCAUCCUCAGGUUGGAACUCCAAAUCCAACCUUAGAAAGCUCUCUAAACUCAGCUGAGCCAGAUCAGAAAAUCUGCUGCGAAUUAGUAUCAAAACAGCACUAAUACACAUACAAAUUACAUCAUAUAAGCCAGAGUCUCACCUAGGUUUAGACCAAAACUAAAUCUUCACUUCCAAGCAAGUUAAAGUAUUCCAAAUUAGCUCAUACUAGUCACCAAUUUAGCUCAAUUGAAUCUGAUUUUCUGCCACAAAUUCGCUGAAAUCAUGUAUCCGAAUUGCAUCAAAACUAUAACUAUUAUAUCUAAUUAACAAGCUCAUAAGUGAUAUACCUCCCAAUAGCUUCAAUCGGGCCUUUUUCCCCUGAUUUGGAAUUGAUAACUCGCAGCAAAGCCAGUUCUAAAGGUCACUAUAUUCCAUUCAAAGCACUUUUACCACCUGUUGGGAACCAUUACACACAACUCCAUCAUUACCAUUGCUAUUGUCUCGAAGCUAGUAAGUAUAGUUGUGAAUUUACCUUGUUCAGCUCCGACUCAGUUUUAACUGAGUAAAGAUCGAAGAAUCAUGGCCCAAAAUGCCUUUACUUCCGUUUUCACAAGCUGUCCAAAAUCAGUUGGCAGCAAAUAAGUAAAACAAGUUUAAACUUCGUCACUCAAGCUUCAAUCUAGAGAAAAGUUGCCAUACUUACCUCACAGAAUUUCAACUCAGUUCCUGCUGAGUUAAGGUGGAAGAAAAUAGUCAAACAUCAAUUCCCAAGCUUCAAAAGCCAUCCCCCAGGUUUCCAAACCAGCUUGUAGCAAGAGAGGGAGAAAAACCAACUCAAAUCCACUAGUUUUUCCUUUCCAAAUGGAAG
Molecule: long non-coding RNA, 6995 nt
Filed under: Ananas comosus (pineapple)
Lineage: Eukaryota; Viridiplantae; Streptophyta; Magnoliopsida; Poales; Bromeliaceae
Description: long non-coding RNA (ACOM_LNC015014)
Source: RNAcentral